This is a long non-coding RNA of Salvelinus sp. IW2-2015, 4471 nucleotides long. RefSeq lists it as uncharacterized. Lineage: Eukaryota; Metazoa; Chordata; Actinopteri; Salmoniformes; Salmonidae. The record is from RefSeq and is a predicted model, not a curated record.
GUUUCAGUUUCAAGUUUUACUUGUCACAAAUUCAGUGAAAUGUUUAACUUGCAAGCCCUACCCAACAGUGCAGGAUUCAAUAUAAAAUAGUAUAACUAAUACAAAAUGUAGAACACGAGAAAUAAGAAAUAAGAGAGGAAGCUAUAUACAGGGUCAGCGCCAGUACCAAAUGUACAAUGUGAAGGGAUACUGGAGUAUUUGAGGUAGAUAUGUACAUGUACUGUAGGCAAGUGUUGCGAGAUAACUCAAUCCGUUGGAAUACUGUGAGACAAGCAUUUAUAUAAAAGACCACUCCGUAAGCCACGCCCCAGUGGGCAGAGCUAGGCAUGUUGCACUUAGACACGUUUUAAUACAAAAAGCCUCUACUUUUACAAUGCGUCUUCCACAUGGCAGGAUUAGACAGAUGGGUAAACAGAUAAGAUUUACUAAGGUCCCAGCCCAUAUGGGGGUGGAGGGGAACAAGGCAGGCAGUUGAUGUACUGGCUAAACAAGCACAUAGAAGUGGGGAUGUUGAUGUCGUAGUUUCAAUGGGCAAGACAGAGGCAAAAAGCCUGAUAUGGACAGUAAUGGUGCAGAGAUGGCAGGAGCAGUGGAAUAGAGAUACUAAGGGCAGGCAUUUAUUUCUAGUAAAGAGGAAAGUCGGGGAGGGGAGGACAGCAGGAAGGGACAGAAGAGAGGAGGCUAUUUUUACAAGAAUAAGGGUGGGAUACAGCCAGUUGAAUAAGACCUUACAUGUGAUAGGAAAUCAUCCAACAGAAAAGUGUGAGUAUUGCCAGGAAACAGACUGUGGAGCAUGUAUUGCUACAGUGUGGGCUGUAUCAGAGGGAACGAGAGAGACUGAGAUCUAGUAUGAAGGAGAAGGGGAUACAGGAAAGUAGUUUAAAGAGUAUUUUGAGUAGAACGUCAUUGGAUAUAGUCUCAAAUAUUUUGUUAUCUUUUUUAAGAGUAACGGGAGCUGGCAGGUAGGAUUUUGUUUCUCGCCGUCUCUGGCCCACACUCCAGUACAGUAGGUGGCGGUAAUGCACCAUAACGUUGGAUGCCAACGCUGAUAAACCCCACUGAAGAAGAAGAAUGGCUCUUCCAGGGCAGAAGAGUCGAGUUGUGUACGUUGUUCGCAUGAGGUUCCUUGAUUGGUGAAGCGUGUAGAGUUUAUCCAUAGUUUGGGGAAUGGAAAAUGGCAGAGAGUAGUGUGGAUGAAAUUGAGGAAAAGUUGGUGAAGCAACAGCUGUGCUGGAAUGCGAACAAAGUGUCAGUUCUGAUGACAUGGAGCGGGAGGAUGAGGGUCAAGGACUGGAAUGGCCGGUAGUGGAAAGACAUAGGAAGAAGAGAGAUCAUGAUACAGAAAGUAGUGGAGCAUCUAGUAAAGGAAGCAUAAAGAGGACCAAGGUAAGAAGCAAUAGUAGGGAUGUGUUGGAGUGGAAAAUGGUGAUAGUGUUUGAUGAGACCAAAGGGUCUCACACACUAUCAGACUUACUAAUGCCAUAGAGAAUAUGUAUUGCUCUAUUGUGGUGUUGCCCAGCCAGUCUCCCCAYGUUAACAGCACCAUGGCAUGACUCCAAACCUUUUCUCCCAGGUACGUCAGGCAGGUAUCUGUCUUAUUCGCCAUUCAGUGAAUGAGGAGAAUACAGGAAUCACAAUGAGAAGCAUAUGGGGUCCAGGGCAGCAUAGGGCCACACUCCGCACUGAGUCCUCAGAAUCAAAUUCAGUGGUGAACUCACACUUCCAGCCAGCCGUAUCAACUAAGACCACCUGUCUACCAGCCACUUCACCCUGUCGUCUCACACUGUGCGCCAGUCUAUCAGUAUCAAACACCUUGCCCAGGAUGGUGUUCCCUGCCAUGCUCCUCCCAACACAGUUCGCACCCAGAAGCACAGCCCUCACCUCCACAUCAUGUUUACCUCCUAUAAGGCAAACAAAAAGAUGGACAGACAAAGGGGAGAGAUGACAAUAUUUGUUUAUAGAGCAUUGAAUUUCACUAAUUGAUUAACGCCCACCCCCCACAGAAAACAUUCAUCCCAUAGAUUCCAAACCUAUUCCCAAUAUACACUCACCACCCACAGUUGCUCUGUUCUUCUUCAUCUUCAUUAGCCUCAGCAUCCCUCAGUUCUUCACAUCCUAUCUCUUCUGCAGCAACUUUACAAUCAUAUCAUUGUGAAUUUGAUAACAACCACUCUGUGCUACCAUCCUCUCUAUAUUUUGCAACAGUCKGUGACCUGAGUCACAUUCUCCCUGUUUCUGUUGUCUAUGAUAUGCCACCUGUUCUCACAGUUUUCUACAAGUCUUUGAAGGAUGCCUUCCUCACUUGAAAUGUGCUGCUCUAAUGUCGUGUCCACAAGCCAAUUCCUUCUGGUAAAGAGCACCAUGGUGUGUCUCCAUACCCUCUGCUCAAGGAGCUGGUUCAGGUGUUCCUCCACUGUGUCUGUGUGCAGUAUGUGCAAGGAAAGCACAAGGAGGAAGGCAUGUGGGACACAGCAAGAGCAAUUUCCUGCUUGUCCUGUGCUGAGGUCACUGCCAACAAGUUAUUCCACCACCAGCCAGGUGUGUCUACCACAGUGGCCUGUCUGCCAGCAACAGCUGUCUGUCAGCUUACACACUGGGCAGUCCUCUUCGUUGUGUCAAACUCCUCCGCACCCAGGAUUGUGUUUCCUGCCAAGUUUUUGCCAGAAUGCCCUUCCCCAACAGCACAAGUUGAAGGUCUGCCUGUGUGAUGGGGGAGAGAGAAAUAAAGAAGGUAAAUACAAAUGCAGUCAUGGUUAUUCACCAUUGUCUAAUUAUUACUAUGCCUAAUUUACAUAUAUUAUACUUUAUAUACUGUACCUGUAAAGUAGAAUACCAGAUUCCCAUGGUGUAAAUUCUAUGUUUAAUAGAAGAUGAGGUGAAUAAUUUUCCUAAAUACGCAAAAAUAAAUGUUUGUCUUGUCUGUAGGCCAGGGUUAUAUCUCCUUAUUAUUAAAUAUUGAUUUGAUUGUAGUCGGGACCCAUCCAUUAGGGCAUUAGGGGUGGUACUCCACUUGUGAUUGGUAAAAAAACAUGACUUUUUUUGGUGAAAAAUGAAUAAUAUAUUCAUUCAUUGGAUUAUGUUUAAAUUGUCCAUAAAAGCMUGGUUAAUUUGUGUACAUUUUACUGUUCCAAAAAUAUUUUAUCAAAUGACUUUCACAGCACAAAGUAAAUGACUGUCCUGGGGGAGUUCAGAUGAACACCCAGGUCUUCUGGACCUGCUCUAGAAGCCCCUGACUGCGCUCUUCAAAACUCUUGUGCAUGCUGGAGCAUAAAAAGCUGUUGAAUUCUAGUUUUUCUUUACUUACACAUACACUGUGUUGACAGAAACAUUGCUCAGAUCUUGUCCCCUGGACCUUGGAGGACUUUUGGUGUGGAUGAUGAUCAGGGCCUGCCAAAGCAAGGUUUCUCAAACAACUGUGGGGUGUUUGUUUUGAUGGACCUGUUUCCUACAGUUUUUACACUACAUACACAAUUCAUACAUCAAACUCCUGCAGAGCUGGAUGCUGAUGUGACAUGUGUCUUCUACAUCUUGAAAUAUAUUCCUGGUGGGGGGGUGGUAUUAUUAAUAUUUACUAUUAUCAUUAUUGUUGUUAUCAUAACUAUCAAACUUAACAACCUACUCUUUCUUAACUUACAGUACGCUCUGUACAUUGCAAUGGAAGCACAGUGUGAUUUCACUGAGGUAUGUAUAAAUUAUGAAAUUCUCAUCACUAGUGGCGACUAGGCGAUGGUGGUGCCAACUUUCCCAUGCCGUAAGUCUUGAACAUUAUAAAAACUUUUCAUUUGUGUCCUUAAAAUCACUUGUUUCACUGUAGCCAGACUGACCUGAAUAUAUUUUCAUAUUGAAUGUAUGUAAUGUAUGUCAUUCACUCACUAAGGUCUGAAGAAGACAGGUUGAAAGAUCGAAAAAGGUGGCGAAAACAAAACGCACUACAGGUAGGAGGUGUCAUAUGAUGAGUGGUAUAUUCUUAAACCAAUGUUUAAAGACAUAAACCCCGCCCCUCUCCAAUAUAUUUCAGGAUGAUGUAGAAGAUAAUUUGACCUGGAUCACCCAAUGAGACACUACUCUGCAUAUUUAUUCUUACUUUUUCUUCAAGGAAGCAUAUGUUCUUCUAAGGGACACCCUAGAGGCAGCAAGGUGGUGCGAACGCCAAACAUUUAAAGGCACUGUUCCCCUCCCUAGUGUAAUUGGGAUGGAAAGGGAAGACCGCAUUACAACCCUUAAAGAACUACGGUUGUAUGAUGGCCUGGAUGAAGAUGAAAAUAUUCUCCUCAAGGAACCAUUCAUGUUCUCGUUCCAGUUACAGAGAGUUCUAUGUGGAGGCAGUUGACAACAAGAAAAUGACUGACUGCCUCUUUUGAGGAGCAGGAGUGAAGCCAUUUUUGAGGAGUGGUCAAACAUAAUUUUUGUCUGCUGUGUUAAUUGUUUCAAUUGUUAAUUGUGUUGUUUAGUAAAGAUGACGUAGAAGUCA